GACGUAGGGCGCGAGCGUUGUCCGGAUUUAUUGGGCGUAAAGCGCUCGUAGGCGGCUUGUCGCGUCGUCCGUGAAAACCUGGGGCUCAACCCCAGGCUUGCGGUCGAUACGGGCAGGCUCGAGUUCGGUAGGGGAGACUGGAAUUCCUGGUGUAGCGGUGAAAUGCGCAGAUAUCAGGAGGAACACCGGUGGCGAAGGCGGGUCUCUGGGCCGAUACUGACGCUGAGGAGCGAAAGCGUGGGGAGCGAACAGG
Molecule: ribosomal RNA, 253 nt
Filed under: uncultured bacterium
Lineage: Bacteria
Description: partial 16S ribosomal RNA
Rfam family: Bacterial small subunit ribosomal RNA
Source: RNAcentral